This 505-nucleotide long non-coding RNA is filed under the name Pan troglodytes (chimpanzee). Its description in RNAcentral is "lincRNA". The record is from RNAcentral. Lineage: Eukaryota; Metazoa; Chordata; Mammalia; Primates; Hominidae.
UAUUUAUAGGUGAUAUGGAUGGUGACAUUGCAAUGAUCUUUCCUCUUGCUUACUUCAAUGAACUUGAAAAUAUGGUUGCAUUUUAAAAGGCCUGCGCUACCUUUAUGAGCUGUAGCACUCACUGCAGAGGUCUGCGGCUUCACUCCUGAAGUCAAGUCGGGGAGUCCAUGAAACCACCGGAAGGAAGAAACCCCGGACACAUCUGAACAUGUGAAGGAACAAACUCCUGACACAUCUUUACGAACUGUAACGCUCACCGUGAGGGUCUGCGGCUUCAUUCUUGAAGUCAGCGAGACCGAGAACCCAGUGGAAGGAACCAAUUCCAGACACAUUAUCACUAUUAAACCUAUGUCUGUACCUUCUAGCAUUAUAUAUAAAAAGUGCAACAUAGAAAACAAAAUUUAAAUCCACAACUAUUUAAUGUUCACAACUUCUGGAUUUAUCUCAUGUUGCAAACUAUUUUUGUUACCCUAUUCUUUGAGAAAUAUAAAACAUCAGUAUUUCA